UGCUUAUACAACUUAAAUGUGCAAUCCAUGCCAUGCAGCAUCAGCCUGACUCUGACAACGUGCCACAGUUGCAGAGCCUGCUCCCAAACCCAGGCUAUUCCAUAUUGGCUAUUUAGAUGUCUAAAGUAUAUUUAAUUAACAAAAAAAAAAAUUAAACGGACAAGUGGCUGCUUACCUGGGAAUACCCUGUGCUUGCAGAGACCUGCAGUUUAAGUGGGACCUCAUAAUUUGUUGCAAUUUAUUUCUUUCAUGACUUGAUCAUUUGUAGGCAAGUACAAAAAGGGCUAAUUUCUUUUCUUUCUUCAUCUGCAACAUAAUGAUGUUGCAUACAACAAAAGCAGCAUUUCUACUGCGUACAAUGAGCAGAGCAGGAAGACCCAGAAGCCUUUCUGUGUGCAGGGCUCAGCUGUCAGGGAAGCAAGACAAGAUGUGAAUUAUGUUUGUUAUUCUCUCCCUUAUGGUCUCUACUCGACCUGGCUCAUCCUCUUUAUAAGACGCUGCUGUUAGAGUAGGAUGUCACUUCAGUUCCUGUUCACAAGUGGCUGGUUUUUUUCCAUGACAUAAGGACAGAUAAUUUGGAGGUAACUGGCUAAGGCUUCUAGCAAAACCACUGUGCUCUUUCUAUUUCUGUACAAGUUUCCAGGUAAAUUUUUCAGUGCAGGAUUCUGCUAUUGUCUCACACCAGUUCCUGUAGUCCUGGGUUGAAAUGCUUUUUUCUGACUUCAUUCCACCUGGGAAAGCAUGGGUUGACUUAGCAGUACUCACACCUGUCAUGCACCUCUCUUUCCAAGGUUCCCUUUUUCUACACUCAGUGCUGUGUGCUCUGAAUACAUUGCAAUGAAGGACCAGAAGCUGCCCAGGAUCACAAAGCAACACCCUUUCAUUACUCAGAGAACUCCUCAAGAGGAGCAUGCAAUUUUGCAAAUAUUCAGUCCCUUUGGUCUGUCCUGACACAGGAAAAGCUAACAUGGAACUUCUUGUGUGCACUGGAGGAUUUGGAAGUGGAGUGAUCUUGAGUCAGUGUUGGGAGAUAGAGGUAAGAGAUGAUACUUAAAGCUAGCAAUACACCUUUCUGUUCAACUGCAGUCCUAGUGCAGCAUCAGAAGAUGCUGAUAAAAGGGGGGAAAAAAGCAAGGGUGUUGAUUUUUGACCAUCAGUUAAGACUCUUUCCAGGAAAUUGAACAUAUUCAAUAAUAUACACUUUUGUAGAUGGUUCAAGUGUGUUGAAUUAUGUUGGGCUUUGUUAGUGGUAAAAAAAUACCUUCUUGAUCCUUUGUUACCUUGUUCUCACUGUAAUUUGAAACUUUUUCACUAAAGCUCACAUGAUAAUUUUGAAGCAUUUAGACAGCUUUAUUUCAAGUUGCUAUUUUCAAUGUCAGUAGGAGGAUAUAAAGUUCGUGACUGAUGCAUAACUCUUAGGGUGAUGCACCAGAAACAUGUCAAGAAGGCCAGCUGUAGAGAUAACUUCCUGCUUAUACUUCACAUGCCACAUAGUUUUCUG
This 1501-nucleotide long non-coding RNA is filed under the name Ficedula albicollis (Collared flycatcher). RNAcentral describes it as "lncRNA (ENSFALG00000028722.1)". Lineage: Eukaryota; Metazoa; Chordata; Aves; Passeriformes; Muscicapidae. The record is from RNAcentral.